AGAAAUCUUUUAUAAAAGUGUUUUGUAACCAUUUUUAGGUUUGUUAAACCAAUUUCUU
This 58-nucleotide transfer RNA is filed under the name Girardia tigrina. RNAcentral describes it as "tRNA-Thr". RNAcentral also lists the same sequence under 1 other name. The record is from RNAcentral. Lineage: Eukaryota; Metazoa; Platyhelminthes; Tricladida; Dugesiidae.